GAUGAACGCUGGCGGCGUGCCUAAUACAUGCAAGUCGAGCGAACAGACGAGGAGCUUGCUCCUCUGACGUUAGCGGCGGACGGGUGAGUAACACGUGGAUAACCUACCUAUAAGACUGGGAUAACUUCGGGAAACCGGAGCUAAUACCGGAUAAUAUAUUGAACCGCAUGGUUCAAUAGUGAAAGACGGUCUUGCUGUCACUUAUAGAUGGAUCCGCGCUGCAUUAGCUAGUUGGUAAGGUAACGGCUUACCAAGGCAACGAUGCAUAGCCGACCUGAGAGGGUGAUCGGCCACACUGGAACUGAGACACGGUCCAGACUCCUACGGGAGGCAGCAGUAGGGAAUCUUCCGCAAUGGGCGAAAGCCUGACGGAGCAACGCCGCGUGAGUGAUGAAGGUCUUCGGAUCGUAAAACUCUGUUAUUAGGGAAGAACAAAUGUGUAAGUAACUGUGCACAUCUUGACGGUACCUAAUCAGAAAGCCACGGCUAACUACGUG
This 497-nucleotide ribosomal RNA is filed under the name uncultured bacterium. RNAcentral describes it as "partial 16S ribosomal RNA". It matches the Rfam family "Bacterial small subunit ribosomal RNA", at positions 28 to 507 of the family's 1533-position model. The record is from RNAcentral.